UACGUAGGGACCAAGCGUUGUCCGGAAUCAUUGGGCGUAAAGAGCGUGUAGGCGGCCUGUUAAGUCUUGCGUGAAAUCUCGGGGCUCAACCCCGAGCGGUCGUGAGAAACUGGCAGGCUAGAGUGCGGAAGAGGAGAAUGGAAUUCCCGGUGUAGCGGUGAAAUGCGCAGAUAUCGGGAAGAACACCCGUGGCGAAGGCGGUUCUCUGGGACGGUACUGACGCUGAGACGCGAAAGCGUGGGGAGCGAACAGG
Molecule: ribosomal RNA, 253 nt
Filed under: uncultured bacterium
Lineage: Bacteria
Description: partial 16S ribosomal RNA
Rfam family: Bacterial small subunit ribosomal RNA
Source: RNAcentral